This 1573-nucleotide unclassified non-coding RNA is filed under the name Hevea brasiliensis (rubber tree). The record is from RNAcentral. Lineage: Eukaryota; Viridiplantae; Streptophyta; Magnoliopsida; Malpighiales; Euphorbiaceae.
CUAAUGUUCCCAACUGAUGGUUCAUUUUCCACAACUGAAAAAAGGAGCCAUGUAAUGUUAUUGCAAAAGCACAUUAAUUCAGUAUAUACAAUUUCUUUUUAGAACAUAAGUACAUGGGACAUGGAGAUAUUCGUCGUCUUGCGGAAAUGAGAACAAAAAACAGAAGGGAAAUCAGAAAAGGACACUGAAUUUGAUAUCUAUCAGCUCUUCUAAGUUGGGAUCAUGAUAUAGUCUCCCGCUGUAUAUUCACUAUAUCGGUCUUCCAAAGCAGAGAAAAACCAGAAAUCUCGAUUAAUCUUUCUCAUCACUUUGGACAAUUGGUACAUGAAGAGCUCAGCUACCGCUGAAGACAAUCUUGUGCAAUCCAAUAUCGAGCUCCGUCGAUACUCCAGAACCCACGUGCUAGGAUCUAAUUGGACAACUGAGGCACCCCAUUUCCUGUGAACCCACGAACUGUUGGCUUUAAUAGUUGAGUAUCCAAUCAUCCCAUUUGACCACUUUUGGACAGAAAUUAAAAACAAAGAAGACCAGAAUCACGAAUUUGAUUAAUAAAGAUGCUAUCUACUGAUUAUAUGUUGUCACUAACUGCUUGCAAUGAAACAAUUAAGCAAAGUCCAUAGCAACAAGUUCAGGGAUUUACCUCUGUAACUCUGCCUGAUAACACAGUAAAGGAACGUGUAGAAAACCCUAUUUUCAGCAGUCCAGCAGUCUGCAAAGGCCAGCCCCAUAUACUCACCUCCUCCAUUGCUGAUUUGUACAAUUCACACUGUGAAUUCAAUAGCAGGCCUUCCUGCAAUUCACCUUUAUUUAUUAGACUGUAAAUAAGCAAGAAAUGCCUAACAGGAUAUUAAAUUUAAGAAGCACAAUUACUUGGAAAAAGUUAAGAUUCUAGGUCUAAAGAACCUGAUUGAUUUUCCAUAUUGAGUUUAUAUGGCUGCAGUUUGAAACUUUUCCAUCCAUAACAAAACCCUUCAAUUCAUUCUGAAUGAAUCUUAGUCUCUCACGCAAAUCUUUCCCAACCUGAGAUCUCUUACCAAUGUUUCUUACUAUAUCGGGAGAUAAUAUAGGACUUAAAACCCCACAAGGUCCCCAGGAAAACCCUAUUUCCGCUACAAAAAGCAAGCUCAAUCCCAAAAGCAACCUUGAAAAAGAACUUAGAAAACCCCUGACUCUCUUUCUCUCCUCUUUCUUGUCACUCAAAUUCAAUCUUGCAAUUGACUUGAGGAGUGGAGACUCCAUUUUGGGACAAGAACUUGAUAGGGGUGUGGACAAAAUCGAAGGAUUGAAAUACACAGGAGUACCCCCAACGUUAGGACAUGAAGAAGAGAACUUAGUGAGAGAGGAUUUCUGGAUGCUAACAGGCAUGAGGUCAAGGGUGGCAUUGAUGCUCGCUAAGCAAAUGUCACAAUUGCAGUUGGUGUCUUUUCUGCAUCCAGGGUAAUAACAGCUAUCUCUCUCAUCCAUGGCGGCGGCGGUGGUGCUUGAUUUCACUGAGGAUGAUGCAGUUGCUUGGUAUGCUUUCAUGGCUGAUUUUUAUUUUGUGUUUGUGUGCAUCUGUGUUGUUCUGCCAUAC